RNAcentral lists this long non-coding RNA (867 nucleotides) under Salvator merianae (Argentine black and white tegu). RNAcentral's name for it is "lncRNA (ENSSMRG00000011602.1)". The record is from RNAcentral. Lineage: Eukaryota; Metazoa; Chordata; Lepidosauria; Squamata; Teiidae.
UACCUUUAACGGUUGGGCCAAGGAGGAAAUUCAAGCAAGAAGCCCCUGCUGAAACGCCCUCUUCUAAUCUGUGCCGCUGUUAAACCUGUAGGACCCCUCCUGUCCUCCUCGCCAUACCGCGGCCCCACGAGAGUUUGGGUUUGAACCCCCGGUGGGUCUGGCAGAACAGGCUCCCUUAAUUUCUGGGCCCCCAGGCCCACAUCGCAACGUGGUUGCAAAAGCCCGCUGCAAACCGUUUCUUUCGUGAGAGUUCUGGGGAAGAAUCAGCAGCCGAGAUUUCAAACGCGCCCGGCGCCGCGCGGCCAGCGCGGGGCUCUGAGACGAACGCUUCCGUUGCCUCUCGCGCAGAUCGCGUCACGAUCCAUGUCAUCGGGACCGACUACAACAGCUACAUCAUUUCGCAUAUAGACAAAACAACAUUUUCCGGCAUCUACCUGUCUGGCAGGGAGAGAGAAGUGGGAAAGGACAUCAGACAGAAAUUUAUAGAGGUGGCUGGACGUCAGGGGUACCCUGAGGACACAAUCUGGAAUGCCGUGAUAGAAGCUGAACGGCCGUUGGCACUCCAUUGCCAUUGCUACCCAUGACCAGGGACGUUCAGAGAAGAUCAGGGAGAUAGAAGGACUGGACACCAUCGUGAAAGCGAUGGAUAAUGGAGAUCUGGAACUGGUCCGGCAUAUCAGCUUGGCCGACGUCUGCACGGAAGCGCAUGUGUUUCUCCACCACACCGACAAGCCUGGCGUGUUCACGACUUCCGGUAAGCGCGCAGCCAGCCAGGGAAGCCAGAACGCUGCAGUCAGGGCUAACGGCCCCGGAUAGCCCUGGUUUCCGUAAAUGCGGGAACGUAAGAAAUGCCCCGCUGGAUCAGAC